Molecule: ribosomal RNA, 200 nt
Filed under: Klebsiella pneumoniae
Lineage: Bacteria; Pseudomonadati; Pseudomonadota; Gammaproteobacteria; Enterobacterales; Enterobacteriaceae
Description: partial 16S ribosomal RNA
Rfam family: Bacterial small subunit ribosomal RNA
Source: RNAcentral
AUGGGCGCAAGCCUGAUGCAGCCAUGCCGCGUGUGUGAAGAAGGCCUUCGGGUUGUAAAGCACUUUCAGCGGGGAGGAAGGCGAUAAGGUUAAUAACCUUGUCGAUUGACGUUACCCGCAGAAGAAGCACCGGCUAACUCCGUGCCAGCAGCCGCGGUAAUACGGAGGGUGCAAGCGUUAAUCGGAAUUACUGGGCGUAA